AUUGAACGCUGGCGGCAUGCCUUACACAUGCAAGUCGAACGGCAGCGGACCUUCGGGUGCCGGCGAGUGGCGAACGGGUGAGUAAUAUAUCGGAACGUACCUUUCAGUGGGGGAUAACGUAGCGAAAGUUACGCUAAUACCGCAUAUUCUGUGAGCAGGAAAGCAGGGGAUCGCAAGACCUUGCGCUGAUUGAGCGGCCGAUAUCAGAUUAGCUAGUUGGUGAGGUAAGGCUCACCAAGGCGACGAUCUGUAGCGGGUCUGAGAGGAUGAUCCGCCACACUGGAACUGAGACACGGUCCAGACUCCUACGGGAGGCAGCAGUGGGAAUUUUGGACAAUGGGCGCAAGCCUGAUCCAGCCAUGCCGCGU
RNAcentral lists this ribosomal RNA (368 nucleotides) under uncultured bacterium. RNAcentral describes it as "bacterial SSU rRNA". It matches the Rfam family "Bacterial small subunit ribosomal RNA", at positions 30 to 402 of the family's 1533-position model. The record is from RNAcentral.